CUACGGUGAAUACGUUCCCGGACCUUGUACACACCGCCCGUCAAGCCAUGGAAGCUGGGUGUACCUAAGUCGAUAACCGUAAGGAGUCGCCUAAGGGUAAAACUAGUAACUGGGGCU
RNAcentral lists this ribosomal RNA (117 nucleotides) under uncultured bacterium. RNAcentral's name for it is "partial 16S ribosomal RNA". It matches the Rfam family "Bacterial small subunit ribosomal RNA", at positions 1357 to 1482 of the family's 1533-position model. The record is from RNAcentral.